CCUACGGGUGGCAGCAGUGAGGAAUAUUGGUCAAUGGGCGGGAGCCUGAACCAGCCAAGUCGCGUGAGGGAAGACGGUCCUACGGAUUGUAAACCUCUUUUGCCGGGGAGCAACGGGGUCCUUGCGAGGGCCCAAUGAGAGUACCCGGCGAAAAAGCAUCGGCUAACUCCGUGCCAGCAGCCGCGGUAAUACGUGGGUGGCGAGCGUUAUCCGGAAUGAUUGGGCGUAAAGGGUGCGUAGGCGGCCUGCUAAGUCUGGAGUGAAAGGGACCGGCUCAACCGGUACAGGCUCUGGAAACUGGCGGGCUAGAGAGCAGGAGAGGGCGGUGGAACUCCAUGUGUAGCGGUAAAAUGCGUAGAUAUAUGGAAGAACACCAGUGGCGAAGGCGGCCGCCUGGCCUGUUACUGACGCUGAGGCACGAAAGCGUGGGGAGCAAAUAGGAUUAGAUACCCCUGUAGUC
Molecule: ribosomal RNA, 460 nt
Filed under: uncultured bacterium
Lineage: Bacteria
Description: partial 16S ribosomal RNA
Rfam family: Bacterial small subunit ribosomal RNA
Source: RNAcentral